This 749-nucleotide long non-coding RNA is filed under the name Ricinus communis (castor bean). RNAcentral's name for it is "long non-coding RNA (RCOM_LNC000281)". The record is from RNAcentral. Lineage: Eukaryota; Viridiplantae; Streptophyta; Magnoliopsida; Malpighiales; Euphorbiaceae.
AACAGCAGCAAAAACUAAACUGAGGGAUUAGAGGAUUGCAUUUGAACAUCCAGCAGCAAGGUCUUCAAAUCGUCAGGAGGCGGAGAAAGGUAUAUAGCUGAUACCAAUUGGUUCCCCAAAGCUGGACUUGGACAACCAAUCAGCACAAGAAUUGAUCUCUGUGGAAACAUGCAGAACAGAGACUUCCAGGCAAUCUCUGAAUCAAAGCACGUUGAGGACUAUAGUCAGUACAGAUGGAAUCGGCUUCCGAGGUGACUUUGGUAAGACCCAUAUCACCAGCCAACUCAAGACCUGUUAUGGUACCCAAAUCUCUGCACACAAGGAAAUACGACUACCAAUAUGAUGACUAUAACCAGCAGUAGUCCAAAUUCCAGCAUAUGAUAUCUGAUCAGGCUUCCUGCAGUAGAAUCUCCUAAAGAGGAGGAGGCUUCCACUUAAGUUCUUGAUUCCUUCUUCCCUGAGCAGCAAAAGUAGCUGUUAGAUUCGUAUCAGCAGCUCGUACGUUGAGCUUCUUUCAGAGGACGCAGAAUAAAAGCAAUAGGAUGUUCGUUAGUUCCUUCACCAGCUGCAAAGAUCCUGCUAUUUCUCCAGCUACCCAAGAUAGCCCAAUAAGCAAGCAAAAUCAAAGAUGAGCUUCUAUUCCCCUUUUAUCAUAACUGUUGAUGUCCAUCCUUACCUUCAAGAUUCCAAUUUAACAAAUCACAGAGAGUGAGUUAAAAAUGAAUCUAUUCCAGACAUCUCAAUUAACU